UGUGUGUUAGUGGAAGCGUCUGGAAAGGCGCGCGAUACAGGGUGACAGCCCCGUACACAAAAAUGCACAUACUGUGAGCUCGAUGAGUAGGGCGGGACACGUGGUAUCCUGUCUGAAUAUGGGGGGACCAUCCUCCAAGGCUAAAUACUCCUGACUGACCGAUAGUGAACCAGUACCGUGAGGGAAAGGCGAAAAGAACCCCGGCGAGGGGAGUGAAAAAGAACCUGAAACCGUGUACGUACAAGCAGUGGGAGCCUCUUUUAUGGGGUGACUGCGUACCUUUUGUAUAAUGGGUCAGCGACUUAUAUUCUGUAGCAAGGUUAACCGAAUAGGGGAGCCGAAGGGAAACCGAGUCUUAACUGGGCGUUAAGUUGCAGGGUAUAGACCCGAAACCCGGUGAUCUAGCCAUGGGCAGGUUGAAGGUUGGGUAACACUAACUGGAGGACCGAACCGACUAAUGUUGAAAAAUUAGCGGAUGACUUGUGGCUGGGGGUGAAAGGCCAAUCAAACCGGGAGAUAGCUGGUUCUCCCCGAAAGCUAUUUAGGUAGCGCCUCGUGAAUUCAUCUCCGGGGGUAGAGCACUGUUUCGGCAAGGGGGUCAUCCCGACUUACCAACCCGAUGCAAACUGCGAAUACCGGAGAAUGUUAUCACGGGAGACACACGGCGGGUGCUAACGUCCGUCGUGAAGAGGGAAACAACCCAGACCGCCAGCUAAGGUCCCAAAGUCAUGGUUAAGUGGGAAACGAUGUGGGAAGGCCCAGACAGCCAGGAUGUUGGCUUAGAAGCAGCCAUCAUUUAAAGAAAGCGUAAUAGCUCACUGGUCGAGUCGGCCUGCGCGGAAGAUGUAACGGGGCUAAACCAUGCACCGAAGCUGCGGCAGCGACACUAUGUGUUGUUGGGUAGGGGAGCGUUCUGUAAGCCUGUGAAGGUGUGCUGUGAGGCAUGCUGGAGGUAUCAGAAGUGCGAAUGCUGACAUAAGUAACGAUAAAGCGGGUGAAAAGCCCGCUCGCCGGAAGACCAAGGGUUCCUGUCCAACGUUAAUCGGGGCAGGGUGAGUCGACCCCUAAGGCGAGGCCGAAAGGCGUAGUCGAUGGGAAACAGGUUAAUAUUCCUGUACUUGGUGUUACUGCGA
Molecule: ribosomal RNA, 1133 nt
Filed under: Escherichia coli
Lineage: Bacteria; Pseudomonadati; Pseudomonadota; Gammaproteobacteria; Enterobacterales; Enterobacteriaceae
Description: partial 23S ribosomal RNA
Rfam family: Bacterial large subunit ribosomal RNA
Source: RNAcentral